Molecule: ribosomal RNA, 465 nt
Filed under: Vreelandella stevensii
Lineage: Bacteria; Pseudomonadati; Pseudomonadota; Gammaproteobacteria; Oceanospirillales; Halomonadaceae
Description: partial 16S ribosomal RNA
Rfam family: Bacterial small subunit ribosomal RNA
Source: RNAcentral
CCUACGGGGGGCUGCAGUGGGGAAUAUUGGACAAUGGGGGGAACCCUGAUCCAGCCAUGCCGCGUGUGUGAAGAAGGCCCUCGGGUUGUAAAGCACUUUCAGUGAGGAAGAACGCCUGGUGGUUAAUACCCAUCAGGAAAGACAUCACUCACAGAAGAAGCACCGUCUAAAUCCGUGCCAGCAGCCGCGGUAAUACGGAGGGUGCGAGCGUUAAUCGGAAUUACUGGGCGUAAAGCGCGCGUAGGUGGCUUGAUAAGCCGGUUGUGAAAGCCCCGGGCUCAACCUGGGAACGGCAUCCGGAACUGUCGAGCUAGAGUGCAGGAGAGGAAGGUAGAAUUCCCGGUGUAGCGGUGAAAUGCGUAGAGAUCGGGAGGAAUACCAGUGGCGAAGGCGGCCUUCUGGACUGACACUGACACUGAGGUGCGAAAGCGUGGGUAGCAAACAGGAUUAGAUACCCCUGUAGUC